RNAcentral lists this ribosomal RNA (497 nucleotides) under uncultured bacterium. RNAcentral's name for it is "partial 16S ribosomal RNA". It matches the Rfam family "Bacterial small subunit ribosomal RNA", at positions 28 to 507 of the family's 1533-position model. The record is from RNAcentral.
GAUGAACGCUGGCGGCGUGCCUAAUACAUGCAAGUCGAGCGAACGGACGAGAAGCUUGCUUCUCUGAUGUUAGCGGCGGACGGGUGAGUAACACGUGGAUAACCUACUUAUAAGACUGGGAUAACUUCGGGAAACCGGAGCUAAUACCGGAUAAUAUUUUGAACCGCAUGGUUCAAAAGUGAACGACGGUCUUGCUGUCACUUAUAGAUGGAUCCGCGCUGCAUUAGCUAGUUGGUAAGGUAACGGCUUACCAAGGCAACGAUGCAUAGCCGACCUGAGAGGGUGAUCGGCCACACUGGAACUGAGACACGGUCCAGACUCCUACGGGAGGCAGCAGUAGGGAAUCUUCCGCAAUGGGCGAAAGCCUGACGGAGCAACGCCGCGUGAGUGAUGAAGGUCUUCGGAUCGUAAAACUCUGUUAUUGGGGAAGAACAUAUGUGUAAGUAACUGUGCACAUCUUGACGGUACCUAAUCAGAAAGCCACGGCUAACUACGUG